This 405-nucleotide ribosomal RNA is filed under the name uncultured bacterium. RNAcentral's name for it is "bacterial SSU rRNA". It matches the Rfam family "Bacterial small subunit ribosomal RNA", at positions 509 to 916 of the family's 1533-position model. The record is from RNAcentral.
CAGCAGCCGCGGUAAUACGGAGGAUCCAAGCGUUAUCCGGAUUUAUUGGGUUUAAAGGGUGCGUAGGCGGACCCUUAAGUCAGUGGUGAAAGUUUGCAGCUCAACUGUAAAAUUGCCAUUGAAACUGAGGGUCUUGAGUGUAAAUGAGGUAGGCGGAAUGUGUUGUGUAGCGGUGAAAUGCUUAGAUAUAACACAGAACACCAAUUGCGAAGGCAGCUUACUGGGAUACAACUGACGCUGAGGCACGAAAGCGUGGGGAUCAAACAGGAUUAGAUACCCUGGUAGUCCACGCAGUAAACGAUGAAUACUAACUGUAUGCGAUAUACUGUAUGCGGUACAGCGAAAGCGUUAAGUAUUCCACCUGGGGAGUACGUUCGCAAGAAUGAAACUCAAAGGAAUUGACGG